RNAcentral lists this ribosomal RNA (394 nucleotides) under uncultured bacterium. Its description in RNAcentral is "partial 16S ribosomal RNA". It matches the Rfam family "Bacterial small subunit ribosomal RNA", at positions 523 to 918 of the family's 1533-position model. The record is from RNAcentral.
AUACGUAGGGGACGAGCGUUGUCCGGAAUUACUGGGCGUAAAGGGCGCGCAGGCGGAUAUUUAAGUCAGCUGUAAAAGGCAUGAGCUCAACUCAUGUAUGCGGUUGAAACUGGGUAUCUAGAGUGCUGGAGAGGUAGGCGGAAUUCUCGGUGGAGCGGUGAAAUGCGUAGAUAUCGGGAAGAACACCAGUGGCGAAGGCGGCUUACUGGCCAGCAACUGACGCUGAGGCGCGAAAGCCAGGGGAGCGAACGGGAUUAGAUACCCCGGUAGUCCUGGCCGUAAACGAUGAAUGCUAGGUGUGGGUGUCGAGAGGCAUCCGUGCCGGAGUUAACGCGAUAAGCAUUCCGCCUGGGGAGUACGAUCGCAAGAUUGAAACUCAAAUGAAUUGGCGGGG